RNAcentral lists this long non-coding RNA (218 nucleotides) under Mytilus galloprovincialis (Mediterranean mussel). Lineage: Eukaryota; Metazoa; Mollusca; Bivalvia; Mytilida; Mytilidae. The record is from RNAcentral.
AAUAUAUUAACAUCAACAAUAAAUGUUUACUGUUUAAAAACUGGAUACAAAGCAACAUUCUGGUUAUAAAUGAUUUAUUAAAUAAAGAUGGAAAUAUAUCCUCAGACAUCAUACUAAGUAAACUAAAAAUAAGGAAAACUGGAUAGCUGAGCUAACAAAACUGAAGAAAGCUAUUCCAAAACAGUGGACCAAUAUCAUCAAAAACUCACCUUCUAAAC